Lolium perenne is the source of this 702-nucleotide long non-coding RNA. RefSeq lists it as uncharacterized. The record is from RefSeq and is a predicted model, not a curated record. Lineage: Eukaryota; Viridiplantae; Streptophyta; Magnoliopsida; Poales; Poaceae.
UAUAUAAGUACGCAGAGCCCUUGGCCGGAGAGAGUGCAAUGCAUUCUCUCCCCACACAAGCAACCUCCGUCCCAACCACAGCAUCGUCCAAAGGUAUGAUCGUGCCUGCCGCUAUGGGCAAAGUGACACAGCCACCGCCUGCGAAAUACGGCCCAGGCGACGAUCCGGAUGUGAACGAUACGGUUCUCGAUCCAAAGGGUGGCUUGAUUUUCAUAAAAGGGGGCAGCAAACAGUGGGCGCUUAUAUGAAUGACAGACAGAUAUAAGGGCAAGCUGAGGCCUGUCCGGAACCGCGAGGAUGCGCUCAUGCCUCAAUAUAUGCUCCGCAACUGCUGGUCGAGUCUUCUUCAUCGUGAUAAUUUAAAGGCCGAGCUAGGGUCUUGUUCAAGUGUUCGUCCUUGGCAUCAUUUCGCGAAGUCACAGAAAUAGCAACGUUAGUACUGGGUGUCGGAUGGCCUGAAGAAACAAGUACAGCGUGUUUCUUUACUGCUACUAGUGAAGAUAUGUUCAGUGGUAAAACAAGAUAAAAUCCAGAAGUGGCUCUCGGUACCAUAUGUUUGGUGUGAAUAUUUCUUAUGGUGUGUGUAUAUGUUGUUCGUGUGAUGUAAUACCUCCAGUAUUGCUUAUGUAAAAAUACCCUUGUGAGAAUUUGGUACUAGUAUAUCCUUUAAUUUGAUCCUAGACAGGGCCAGGGCGUGUUGCU